RNAcentral lists this ribosomal RNA (703 nucleotides) under uncultured Bacteroidales bacterium. RNAcentral describes it as "bacterial SSU rRNA". It matches the Rfam family "Bacterial small subunit ribosomal RNA", at positions 63 to 756 of the family's 1533-position model. Lineage: Bacteria; Pseudomonadati; Bacteroidota; Bacteroidia; Bacteroidales. The record is from RNAcentral.
CGAGGGGCAGCAUGGUCUUAGCUUGCUAAGGCCGAUGGCGACCGGCGCACGGGUGAGUAACACGUAUCCAACCUGCCGUCUAUUCUUGGACAGCCUUCUGAAAGGAAGAUUAAUACAAGAUGGCAUCAUGAGUCCGCAUGUUCACAUGAUUAAAGGUAUUCCGGUAGACGAUGGGGAUGCGUUCCAUUAGAUAGUAGGCGGGGUAACGGCCCACCUAGUCUUCGAUGGAUAGGGGUUCUGAGAGGAAGGUCCCCCACAUUGGAACUGAGACACGGUCCAAACUCCUACGGGAGGCAGCAGUGAGGAAUAUUGGUCAAUGGGCGAGAGCCUGAACCAGCCAAGUAGCGUGAAGGAUGACUGCCCUAUGGGUUGUAACUUCUUUUAUAAAGGAAUAUAGUCGGGUAUGCAUACCCGUUUGCAUGUACUUUAUGAAUAAGGAUCGGCUAACUCCGUGCCAGCAGCCGCGGUAAUACGGAGGAUCCGAGCGUUAUCCAGAUUUAUUGGGUUUAAAGGGAGCGUAGAUGGAUGUUUAAGUCAGUUGUGAAAGUUUGCGGCUCAACCGUAAAAUUGCAGUUGAUACUGGAUAUCUUGAGUGCAGUUGAGGCAGGCGGAAUUCGUGGUGUAGCGGUGAAAUGCUUAGAUAUCACGAAGAACUCCGAUUGCGAAGGCAGCCUGCUAAGCUGCAACUGACAUUGAGGCUCGA